AGAAUAAUUCACAAUGGGGGCAACCCUGAUGGUGCAACGCCGCGUGGAGGAUGACGGUCUUCGGAUUGUAAACUCCUGUCAUCGGGGCGUGAGACCUGGCCGUUAAUAGCGGACAGGGUUGAUAGUACCCGAAGAGGAAGGGACGGCUACCUUCGAGCCAGCAGCCGCGGUAAUCCCAAGGUCCCGAGCGUUGUUCGGAAUCACUGGGCGUAAAGGGAGCGUAGGCGGCGCGGUAAGUCAGAUGUGAAAUCCCGGGGCUCAACCCCGGAACUGCAUCCGAUACUGCCGUGCUAGAGGAUUGGAGAGGUAGCUGGAAUUCUUGGUGUAGCAGUGAAAUGCGUGGAGAUCAAGAGGAACACUCGUGGCGAAAGCGAGCUACUGGACAAUAUCUGACGCUGAGGCUCGAAGGCCAGGGUAGCGAA
RNAcentral lists this ribosomal RNA (422 nucleotides) under uncultured bacterium. Its description in RNAcentral is "bacterial SSU rRNA". It matches the Rfam family "Bacterial small subunit ribosomal RNA", at positions 358 to 772 of the family's 1533-position model. The record is from RNAcentral.